This is a long non-coding RNA of Eublepharis macularius, 3163 nucleotides long. RefSeq lists it as uncharacterized. The record is from RefSeq and is a predicted model, not a curated record. NCBI's taxonomy places the organism in Eukaryota, Metazoa, Chordata, Lepidosauria, Squamata, Eublepharidae. The transcript is spliced from 3 exons.
CAAGAGAAGCAGCAACAUCUUCAAGUACAGCAAACAGCUUCUGUAGAAAAAGCAUAUGAGUUAUACUGGAAAGUUACAGAACAAAGAGAAAAAGACAAACAAAAAUGCCGUGGAUAUGGGCCAUUUUGAUAGCAGUGCUGGUGUGCCUUCUGAUUGUGCACUUUCUGAAACAACUCUGGUCACACAGGAACUAUCCUCCAGGGCCUCUUCGGCUUCCUCUCAUUGGAGGCAUGUGGCGGGUAUUGCCAAACUUUUCUGAGGAUAUUUUGAUUAAGGCUUUUCCUUUGAAUGCUGGAAGAUGUGGGCUGCUGAUCUGUUCUUUAAACACCACCUGUAUGGCCCCGUGCAUGUAUUGGGGAACAGUUGGCAAGGAUCGAACUCUUCAUCUUCUUCAGCAAUCUGUUGAGGUCAUUCACCUUUCAGCCACCAGAAGGAGUGAAAAAAAUAAAUGAAAAGCCUGUAGUACGAAUGGUUACCCCUCCACGACCUUAUAAGAUCUGUGUUAUUCCCCGCAGUAGUGGCUCAUAAGCCACAACAAUCUAAAGAGAAGCUUUUUUGUUGGAAUCCAUUCCAUCCAUUGUCACAUCAUCUAACAUUCUGCUGAUCCAUGCUGUCCUUUAGUUUCCUCAUUUGAUUAGAGCUGUUUAGAGAAGGAAUUCAGACAGAUCUCUACUGUUCACUCUUUUCUUAUUAUCACCUAAUAUAUGAGAUAUAAUGGUUGUUGUGGGUUUUCCGGGCUGUAUUGCCGUGGUCUGGGCAUUGUAGUUCCUGACGUUUCGCCAGCAGCUGUGGCUGGCAUCUUCAGAGGUGUAGCACCAAAAGACAGAGAUCUCUCAGUGUCACCAAUGCCAAGACCACGACAAUACAGCCCGGAAAACCCACAACAACCAUCGUUCUCCGGCCGUGAAAGCCUUCGACAAUACAUAUGAGAUAUAGUUUGCUGACUCUGCAGAAAAGUUCAAUACAGAAUGUUUGCCAUAUAUAAAAUGGAAAUUUGUUUAUUUAUCUAUGCGCUGUUGAAAGACAAAAUUUGUGCCUCUUCACUGAGUAAACUCUUUGAUAACUUCUAUCAGCCAUUUGUAUAUUCUGUAUUAUUUUAGAAGAGACAAAUCUCAUUUUGAGAAUGGUUGUGCUAAAAAAGCAAAUGUACACACUGAGAAGGAACUUCAUGAAAACCAGUUUAUAAUUACAAUAAGUCAAUUAAGAUAGAAAUUAUCAAAGUGCUGAUAUAAUUUACAAAGGCUAGUGAUACUAAUGUGGGCAAAAGCUAUCAUUUUGUGACACCUUCGAGUUGAUUUUUAUUUAAAGUGGUACAGAAAUGUCCAUACUUAAGACCUCUGAUGGAUUAAAUGACUUAACAAUGGUGUCACCUUAAAAGUAACCAAAUGCCUUAUUAACUGUAUGUUUACCUUGCAAGGCUCACUCCAGAAAUAAUCCUGGGCCCAGCCUACUUACCAGAGAGCCAGUUUAUGGGAUAUGGGAUGUUGGCACAGGGCAAGGGCUCCUGCCACUAUGUCUGAGCCCAUGUAGCUCCCAGAGGCCCUGCAUGACUAUGUGUGAGCAAAAGAGCCUGAACUGCCAAGCUGGCCAAACAAGGCCAGCCAUCCGGAUACAAGUGGGCAGUCCUGAUCAGCAGACCUGAGAGUUUUAGUUUCCAUUCAGGCCCACCAGAAAGCUUUUGGGAAGGUUCUGCCCGGCCACGCUCAGGUUCUUCCAAAACUGGCUUUGAAGCAGGAGCAGCAUAGCAGCAGAGGAGGAACAGCAGUCUGCACCCAUGUGGCAGCAAGUGGCAGGCAGUGGCAGUGAGCAGAGGCUGCAGCAGCAGCGUGUGCACUUGGGCCUGUCCAGGGCGCUCAUUGAGUGGAGCUAGUGAGCAACAUCAGGGGCCUGGGGCUGCCCAGCGGCUGCAGGUCAAGCACAAGCAGUGCAUUUCUGGGCAGCCUCCCAGUGGCCCACAGAGAGCCUCGGCAGCAUCGCUGGGCUUUGGGACACCCCCAGGGCAGUCUCCAAGGAUAGAGGGCUUUAAAAGAUGCACAUGGGGGUAGUGAUAGCGCCUACCCAGAAAGGCACCUCUACAGGCUACCUGAGGUUCCUCUUUCAACGGGCCGGUGUGGUGUCUAGGCAGACACUAUUUGGCACCAAGAAGCCUGCUAGGUCAGACUCCCAAUGGGGGCCAAAGGAAAGCCUGCAACAGCCCCCAUGACUGCUGCAGGGGGGCUCCUGAGGUAGACCCAGGGGAUGGAUGGGAGAGGCAUGCAGCCUGACAGGUCUGUCUGCUGGGGCCCUUCUGAGGCUAAGAGACACUGCACUUUGCAAGGGUUAUGUAGGGGGCUUGAAUUACUCAAUGAAAAGGUGAAAGAGGUGUCUCCAUGUCUGGGGAAUGCAGCCCCAAAAGCUAUCAAAGCCCCCUCCCGGGCUGCAGGUAGGUUUCUUUGGGGAGGGGGUGCAAAUCUUUGUGAGGGAGUUUGAGUGAGGGAAUGUGUAUUUUGCUGGCCUCCUGCAUGCAACACCUCUGUCUAAAUAUUCAAAAUUGGCUUCUUUUGUUAUUCGCACAUACACACUUCUUCCCCGUGCUGCUGCAGGGACAAUGAGGCCAGCCAGUUUCCUAAGAAUCCUUGUGGUGAUUCAAAUUUUCCAAAUGUCUUAAACGGUCUUUGUAAUUUUUUGCUAUAUCAAUAAUUUUGUGUGCUUUACUUCUUUGUGUUAGCAUGGGGUUAAGUGGAGACCUCUGAGGUGAGAAGGAAUCGGGCUGGAGGGGUAAGAGGAGCGUGCUGUGAAUACAUUGAAGAUGUACCUUGAGGGGCAGGGAACUGCAGUUUUUAGUCUGAGUGCUGAGGGGAAACUGUUCAUACUGUCUAGAUUAGGCAAUCUGUGUGGAAGUUUUGAGUGUUCUACUUUGUGGAUGAACACAGCCUAAGUGGAAAAAUAAGGAAAGUCUUGUUCAGAUAGGCGAUUCGUAUGGAAGCCUGAGAGAGUCUAGGUCUGUGUGGUUGAAAUGAGAAAAUUAUUCUGAGUGAAGAACUGUGUGGAAAAGUAGUCUUUGUGGCUGGGUCAGUGAAUAUACCUUUCAGAAUAUACAACUGUUUUGAAACCACCAAGUUUAUGAACCUAUUCUGAAACCAAUAUGCAUAUGUGCUUCUAAAUAAAGUCUACUUCCGGUUAA